ACGGGUGAGUAAUGUCUGGGAAACUGCCCGAUGGAGGGGGAUAACUACUGGAAACGGUAGCUAAUACCGCAUAACGUCGCGAGACCAAAGUGGGGGACCUUCGGGCCUCACACCAUCGGAUGUGCCCAGAUGGGAUUAGCUAGUAGGUGGGGUAACGGCUCACCUAGGCGACGAUCCCUAGCUGGUCUGAGAGGGUGACCAGCCACACUGGAACUGAGACACGGUCCAGACUCCUACGGGAGGCAGCAGUGGGGAAUAUUGCACAAUGGGCGCAAGCCUGAUGCAGCCAUACCGCGUGUAUGAAGAAGGCCUUCGGGUUGUAAAGUACUUUCAGCGGGGAGGAAGGCGACGCGGUUAAUAACCGGGUCGAUUGACGUUACCCGCAGAAGAAGCACCGGCUAACUCCGUGCCAGCAGCCGCGGUAAUACGGAGGGUGCAAGCGUUAAUCGGAAUUACUGGGCGUAAAGCGCACGCAGGCGGUCUGUCAAGUCGGAUGUGAAAUCCCCGGGCUUAACCUGGGAACUGCAUUCGAAACUGGCAGGCUAGAGUCUUGUAGAGGGGGGUAGAAUUCCAGGUGUA
This 579-nucleotide ribosomal RNA is filed under the name uncultured Enterobacteriaceae bacterium. RNAcentral's name for it is "bacterial SSU rRNA". It matches the Rfam family "Bacterial small subunit ribosomal RNA", at positions 102 to 677 of the family's 1533-position model. Lineage: Bacteria; Pseudomonadati; Pseudomonadota; Gammaproteobacteria; Enterobacterales; Enterobacteriaceae. The record is from RNAcentral.